This 255-nucleotide long non-coding RNA is filed under the name Capsicum annuum. Its description in RNAcentral is "long non-coding RNA (CANN_LNC013198)". The record is from RNAcentral. Lineage: Eukaryota; Viridiplantae; Streptophyta; Magnoliopsida; Solanales; Solanaceae.
CCCAGCCUUGGUCUCCUCUGCAAGACUUCUGUACUUAGUCCUUACUGUCCUCAACUUCAGGUUAAAAAACUCAAAAAGCUACCUCUUCAAAUUCAGGUUUGUACAGUUUGACAACAUCACUACAUUCCAAUGUCGCUGGUGCAAAGCGAAAAACGUUAUGGAGGUAUUCGUUUUCCAUCAUGUGAUUUGUGAAACCAUAACCUAAAUAUCUUCUUAUGUAAUUUAUCUGUUUGAACUGCGAUCAAGUGCUAAAAC